AGUAAACGUUGGCGGCGUGCCUGACACAUGCAAGUCGAACGAUUCCCGAAUAGCUUGCUAUUCGGGAAGAGUGGCGAACGGGUGAGCAACACGUGAGUAAUCAACCCCUCGAGUGAGGAAUAAUUCCGCGAAAGCGGGACUAAUACCGCAUAAUACUCUGGGGCAUAAGCCCUCAGAGUCAAAGCUUUCCGAGCAAUCGGAAGGCGCUUGAGGACGAGCUCGCGGCCUAUUAGCUAGUUGGUAGGGUAAUGGCCUACCAAGGGUUAUGAUGGGUAGCCGGCUUGAGAGGGUGUACGGCCACACUGGGACUGAGACACGGCCCAGACUCCUACGGGAGGCAGCAGUGGGGAAUCUUGCGCAAUGGGCGAAAGCCUGACGCAGCGACGCCGCGUGGAGGAUGAAGGCCUUCGGGUUGUAAACUCCUGUCAGAGGAGAAGAAUUCCCGAGUAAUCGGGAUUGACGGUAUCCUCAGAGGAAGCCCCGGCCAACUACGUG
RNAcentral lists this ribosomal RNA (495 nucleotides) under uncultured bacterium. Its description in RNAcentral is "bacterial SSU rRNA". It matches the Rfam family "Bacterial small subunit ribosomal RNA", at positions 29 to 507 of the family's 1533-position model. The record is from RNAcentral.